Molecule: ribosomal RNA, 557 nt
Filed under: uncultured bacterium
Lineage: Bacteria
Description: bacterial SSU rRNA
Rfam family: Bacterial small subunit ribosomal RNA
Source: RNAcentral
ACGGGUGAGUAACGCGUGGGAACGUGCCCUUCGGUUCGGGAUAACUCAGGGAAACUUGAGCUAAUACCGGAUACGCCCUUAGGGGGAAAGAUUUAUUGCCGAAGGAUCGGCCCGCGUCCGAUUAGCUAGUUGGUGAGGUAACGGCUCACCAAGGCGACGAUCGGUAGCUGGUCUGAGAGGAUGAUCAGCCACACUGGGACUGAGACACGGCCCAGACUCCUACGGGAGGCAGUAGUGGGGAAUAUUGGACAAUGGGCGCAAGCCUGAUCCAGCCAUGCCGCGUGAGUGAUGAAGGCCCUAGGGUUGUAAAGCUCUUUCGCCAGGGACGAUAAUGACGGUACCUGGAUAAGAAGCCCCGGCUAACUUCGUGCCAGCAGCCGCGGUAAUACGAAGGGGGCUAGCGUUGUUCGGAAUCACUGGGCGUAAAGCGCACGUAGGCGGAUCUUUAAGUCAGGGGUGAAAUCCCGAGGCUCAACCUCGGAACUGCCUUUGAUACUGGAGGUCUCGAGUCCGGGAGAGGUGAGUGGAACUGCGAGUGUAGAGGUGAAAUUCGUAGA